This is a long non-coding RNA of Rhinolophus ferrumequinum (greater horseshoe bat), 7249 nucleotides long. RefSeq lists it as uncharacterized. Lineage: Eukaryota; Metazoa; Chordata; Mammalia; Chiroptera; Rhinolophidae. The transcript is spliced from 3 exons. The record is from RefSeq and is a predicted model, not a curated record.
CCUGCCUUCGCCUUUCCCUAGAAUUCUCCUCUCUGCCCACGGAAGCUCCAGUUCUACUUUGAAUCCUUUUUCAAGGGCUUUCUCAGACGUCACCUUCUCUGCGGAGCGUCCACUCCCCCUCUCCCAACUUCCACGGCCUCUGCUAUCAGGGCUGACGUGAUUGUCACUCACGCCUCUGAGGACCAUGCUAACCACGGCGUAGGACUGGAAGUCCGAAGACAUGAACUCAGUCUUAUUUAAUCCAAGAAACGCUAAGUGCUUGCCAGGUGCUGGGCCUUCAGCUGGGUAUUGGGGAUUCAAAAGAGAAAGACGCAGCCAGAUUGGAACAUCCAGUGGAGAAAGCAGCAAGUCAACAGAUAGAAAGCCAGGUAAAUUAGGUGUGAUCCAAGUUCUCUGGGAAUUCGGAAGAGUGAACUCUUAAUUUUCACAUCUUCCCCAAGGCGCACUGCCAUGUAUCAGCAGAUGCUCGGUGAGCACUUUGUGUAAAGGAGAGCAUUAACUCAACAUAGCCUUUAUCUGACUCUCCGCAGACUACUGCACACACAACCCUUGGCUAACCCCUCAUGUGGCGACAGCUACAGCUCUGAGAAGGGUCUGCUUGCGUUCUUCCCCUAGGUCCGGGCCAGCGCCAGCCAGGUGGUGGGAAAGGACCUGCUGAAGGAAUUUGAACUGUAGGACAUGGCCUGAAUUUCCCCACUCUGGCCCUGCCUCAGGUCUGCCUCUCCUGGUGGGAAGGAAGACGUUGGUUGUCUUCACUGGGAGGUGUCUCGCUUACACCUGGUGAGGCCACUGAAGACAUUACACAGCCUCAAACUGGGGCACCCUGGGGGCCCCCUCCUCACUGGGUGUGGUGCCCAGGAUGGGAAGGCAGGCCAGCCCAAGGGAAGCAGAUGGCCGCACACCCCACACUUGACAAGAAAGCAGUCCUGCCUGGCCAAGACUAAGGAAGAGUGAGAGUCAUGGUUCGGUUCCUAGUAACCAGCUUUUCCACCAGACCUUUGAAACCAUAAUCACUGCUCAACAUUUCCUCUGUGGAUGCCUUCCUCCAUGGUCCCUAUGUCGCCCUGAUCCCUGUCCCCCCAGGCCUGAGCUUUCAGGAAUUUAAUACCUGCCACUAAUUUGCUGUGCCGUGUGGGGCCUUGGGGGUGUAUUUUAUAGAUGACAGUAAUAACACACCUUUGCAGAGAACCUGCAGGUACCAGGACCCCUGCAUGCCUCCUCCUUUAAACUUCACAACCAAGCUCUAAGGUGAGAACUGUUGUCAUCCCCAUUUCACAGGUGAGGAAGCAGGAGCUUCAGGAGUUCAAUAACUCGCCCCGUGUGACACGGCUGGUGUAAGUGGCAGAGCUGGACCUCGCCCCCUCCUCAGUCUUGGGCUGGUGAACUUGGCUCCACACCCUGGAGAACUGCAUCCUAAACUCCAGGAGAGUCAACGUUAGGUUUAAGUUUUUCUGCUAUUCUCCGUAAACAGCCAUUGAUUGAUUGGCUUGACCGUAAAACUGUUUUAAAUAAAAUAGAACAUGUUUCUUUUAAGGCACCCACAGCCAUUAAAAGAACAUUUCCAACCUGUUUCCAAACAAUCUCUGGGCAAGAACAAUCUAUUACUCCUAACCCUGCAGUCAUGUCCCUCCCCCAGCACCCAUGCUGACCUUUUCCUAUCAGGCACGCAGUGUCUGGAGACAAAGCCGAGGGCGCCAAGAGAAAGGGGCCAAGACUCAGAUGUAUUUCAGACAAGAACCUGAAGUGACUGAAUCAGAGUUUUACAAAGAACGCCGGUCUAAUUUUAGAUGGAAACCCGACUUACCCCUUCCAGCCUGCCAGUUAGUUUUGGUUAUGUGUCAUUGUUUAUAGUUUAAAUAUUCUUUGCAUUUUUUCCCCAAGACUGCUGUUAAAUUAGAAGCUGGCCGAGAAGAUAAGUUAUUUAUGGAUGUGUGUGACUCCUCUUUAGGCCUAGCUGCUUGCAACUUUCUCAAGCCACCCGGGAAGGUGUGCUUUAUACAGAACGAGAGAGUGUGUGUGAAAUGUUCUUUGAAUAAUGAUUGCAAAGUGCUCAGGGAAGAACUGACUUUAUUUAGACGUUCUGUUUCUUAACAGUUUCCUCUCUGGCUCUCUCUGCAGACAGUGAGUGUGCGGGGGUCUGGGGCGGGCAGUGUGACUGUAAGCUCAGGGAAUAAUAGAGUUUUAUUAUGAGGGAGAUUGCAUCAUGCAUGCUUGAAAUUCCCAUGUGGUACAAUCUGAUUAAGUAUCGAUAUAGUCCAGGUUCCCAGAGGUAUUGUGGGGCUUGGGAAAGAGUAAAAUAGUACACAGGCCACUUGAUCAGAGAUCAAAAGUUCACAGAUGGCAAUGGGCAGUGCGUAACUGCAUGAGGGCCAACAAUAUGUUGUUCUCCGUUCAUUAAGCGCUAUGCUGAGGCAUUUUCUCUGGAAGGGAAAUCCCGUAAAAAAGUUUGUGCACUUAAAAAAAUGUGUAACUACACAAAGCUGAGUUAUGGCUGCUGGACGAAUUUCCCACAUAAGGAAAUCUUGGAAGAGAAUUGUGGAUUAUAUCAUCUGUGAUUUAUCUGGGUCCAAAUGCCUGAAACACGCAAUGAACUUGAGUUGGAACAACACCUAUAUUCUCCGAAGUGUCUCCUGCCUCCGACACAGGGACUAGGGACAGGCUGCCCUCAUCACUUCGAGAGGACAAUAGAAACAGACAGCUGGCUGAUUCCACGGUGUUGGAAAUACUCAGGCUGUCCCCAGACACUGGGCUCCUUAUUUUAGACUCAAUUCAGUACAUGUUUAUGAUUUUGUAUGUGCUACACACGUUCUCUGCCCAGGGCAAUUGGGAUUCAAAGAUAAGCAAGGACACAACACUCGAGUCCUUAAGUCCCCUGAGAGAAGCCCAGUUGCUGUAAGAGCUCUAAAGAGACCCUCUCCCUCUGGCAAAGGUGCCGGGGAACUCUUCACAGACAGGUGGUUGAAGAAGGACAUGCAGGAUGGUGGGGCUCUUCCUGUGCCUGCCCAAGUCUGAGGAAACAAAGGCCGAGCCUGUCUCCUGCUCACGUCCUAUGGGGACAGUCGCCUUGUCCCUCAUGGUUGGCCAGCAGCCUGCUUCCAGAGUAGGUGGCUGGAGUACACAGUCUCUUUCUCCAUGCUGGGAGAAGGCUGUGGGCAGUAGUCACGCACGGGCAUGUGGGGACAGAUCUUCCCCAGAAGUGUGGGAACAGGGUCCAGCUCUGCCUGGCCUUUGUGCUGCCCUCCCAGGUUCAGGGCUGGAGUCCCCUGUCUGGGUCCUGGGCAGCUCUGCGGUCAGAAUGAAGAAAAGGGAUGCAGGGGGCAGUGGUGCUGUGGGUUACGGAGAGGUCUUCUCGUUCCAGGCACCUAUUACUGGCCUUCCCCGGGGGGUGCAUUUGUUUUCUAGGAGCCCUCCAACACAUGCUCGGGGUCCCAGCACAGCAGCAUUUCCUGGUCUAUGACGUGAUGCCCUCUCAUUUCCUGCCCUGGCCCUGCUCUGGGGCACAUCCAUGCAGCCCCGGAGCUUUGGGGUGAGCAUCCACUUGGCACACGUGAAGACUCAUGCCACCCCCCACGCCAAGGGCAGGAGGGCCCUCAGACCAUGGUAGCCGGCUCUCCUGGUCCUGCCAGGAGACGGCCCCAGGCCGUCACUGCGAUCAGUCUUCUUCCUGGAAGUAACAGUGCUGGGAGGGAUUCUGGGGUGCAACCCCUCAGCAGACAGCUCUGCGAUCCACACUUGUGGUCAGAAUGCGGGGCUGGGGCAGGACCCACCUCCUUUUGAGGGAAAGGGGAGAAGGUGCUGUAUCUCCUAGACUCUCUUCCAAGAAAAAAGAUGCUGAGAAAGAGCAGAUGAUUGAGGGCCCAAGGGACAGCACACGCAGUUUGGUGACUUAGGAACUCAGGGAGCAAGAGGUCAGCUGGGAUUUCCCUCUGGAAUGCUAUGCUAGGUUGAAUCUGUUCCAGAACUGCAACAAGACCGCGUGCUUUCCAAUGAAGUGGCCUUUGAUGCAUUGUUUGGAGCAGGUCUACACGCUAAGAUCAGAUGUACCCACACUUCCCCUGGUCCACAAACAGGACACGCACGGAGAUGAAACACUUGGCAGGAAUGAGCUCAAGGGAAGGUCUGGUGAUUAGGGGAGAAAACGUCCGGCCCGAAAGACGCUGAGUUGCUCAUAACACCGUGAGGUUUCUUUGAUGCGAGAUGGGAGUUGUUUGUUUGGCUGGCCUAGCAAGGGCUGAAAAGAACGUGAGGCCGCUGGUACAGCCCACCUGCGUUGUUACAGAUGAGGAGUCUGGAGUUCAAGAGAUGGCAAAGUUCACAGGGAUGCCCAUACUUGCAGAUGGCCCUCAAGUGCUGUAGCCUUGCAGGCCAGUCAGCCCGCGGAUGCAGUCAGCCAGCCAGUCCUCUCCUGCCCACGGCUCCAGCCAGGCACUGGGCUGUCACUGUCUUUCAGAACGAGUUGCCCUUCAGCUCUGACCCACUGGGCUCCCAGACAUGGACUAGUGAUGACUUUUUGUCAGCCGUCCACUACUGACUUCUGUUUAGCUUGUGGAAGGAACCGAGGCUCCUUCCCUGGGGCCCUGUCCUCUCUGUCCCUACAGAGAGUGAGGCCUACCAGGCUCCUUCCAGUUGCCCCCACAGGAGGCCAAGCCGCCUGGCCUGCGUCUGCCCUGCUCUUUGAUCCACUGCUUUUGGAGUGACUCAUCACUAAUCUUUCCUGUCAAUAACAACAAACACUGGGAGGAGGCCCAAGGGCCCUCCUUGGCUCAACAUGUCUUGAAAUUGAACUGGAAGGGAAAACCCAUUACACAGAGGGCUUUGAAGGGGCAGAGGGAAGGAGAAGAAGCCAGAAUCCACACAAGGCGAGCCAGACCCUGGGGUCUGGGUGAAUGCUCAGGCGGGUCAGCUGACAUCUACUGGGGGCAGAGGAGCCUCCCCACGCUAGCUCGUUUCCUCACUCCUGCCCCACUUACUAACAGCCAGCUCUCGACAGGGCCUUCCUGGCCCAGGGAAGAUCCACACUGGACGGACUCUUUGCACCAACAGCCUGAAUAGACUUGGAAGCGGGUUCUAGGCCUCAUCCCGAUGUCGUCCUAAAUGUGAAGAGCGUCGUGGACUUUGAAGUCAGAAGAACUGGCUAUAAAUCCUGCUUUGCUGCUUACUGCCUUUAUGGCCUCUGGAAAGUCACUUAACCUCCAUGAAUCUCAGUUUCUUCAUCUAUAAAAUGGGUGUAUUGCUACUUUCAAGAUUGCUGGGAGGAUUAAAGAGGAUUAUGUGAAGUGCCCAAAACGUAGGCGAUACUUAUUACCUAGUAGCUAAUCUUAUUUAAUUAGAUAGCUUCGUCUCUCAAAUAAAAUAAGUUCUCUGGGUUUAGUCAAAGGAAAUAGAGUUAGAAUUUAGGCCUUUCCGGUGGAAACAGGUGGCUCCACAGGACUGUGUGUGUGUGGUCUGUUCCAAGGGCCCCUAACUUGGGUUUGGUGCACACAUCUCAUUCUGAUGGCAUCUCAUCACCAAGCCCCAGGCCAGAGGCUGGGCACCACCAGCAUAGCCACUCCUUCGACUGCAGGCCUCUGCUGCCCUUCGUACCGCGUGACCGGCGGAUCAAUAGGACAAAUGCCCUGCAGUGCCCGGUGAAGACUUUGAACUCUGGUCCCCGUCCAGCCAGGUGCUGGCACAGCUGACGAGGCAGCAGGCAGGGGCCCCCCUCUGGCUCUUAGGGCUCUCCAGCUCCCAUUGGCCCCUGGGCCACCAAGGAAGGCGCUGGAUUUGUGCAGAGAUUCUCAGAAAAGAAACUUGACACUGGCCAUGUCCACAGGAUUGAGGGCAGAGUAAAGAUGAGUGGUUAGAAUUUCUGGAGGACAUAUUUCUUCCCUGGAGGGAAGAACGUUCUGUCAGUAAUAACAAAACUUCACACUCAACGGAGGGGCUCCCUGGCGCCUCCGCUCUUUCUGCCCCUCCCUAAACUAGCCACUGGGGUUGUGGGGUGUUUAGCUUAACGGCACCUUCAAAUUGUGCCCUGCAACCACAUUCAUAGUAUGAGAAGGAAUAUUUGUUUGUCCUCAGGUUCUGUUAAAGUAGGUAUGUCUGAACCGACCAACCAACCACUGACUCCUAACACCAACUUCCACCAAAAAUCUUGGAGCUCAGUGGACAAACCAGCUAAGCACUGCUUCUCAAAUAAUAUCAUUCCUGUCUGGGUGUGUCCACGUUAGAAAAGCAUUCCUACACCACAUUCCGAUAGGGAUCCUCCAGUGGCUAAGUGGGGUAUUAUCUUCCUUUUGCAAAGGAGGAAAUAACGUGCUCAUGGUUACAAGUCCAGCAAGUAGCAGGCCUGGGAGAAGAACCGGGUCUUCUGUCUCCUCCUGCUAAGCCUUGUCCAGAUAAGGAGUGCGUGGCCUCAUGACUCCUCUCAGGUCCAAACAGGGUCCAUGACUGUGGAUCCAAUCGUGUAAGAGCCCCUGGAGCCCAGAUUUGUACUGUUAAAGCAUUCUGCACUGCUGGUGGGAGCAGACGUUGGCACAAUUUUUAGGAUUGUAAUUUGGCAAUAUGUAUCAAAACCUUUAAAGAUGCACUUACCAAUGAUUUCCACUGCAAGGAAUGUAUCUUAAAGAAAUACUCGAGGCUGGGCGCCAGGUUAAAAAGUUAGACAUAGAAUUACCCAGUGACUCAGCAAUUCCACUCCUAGGUGCACACCCCAAAAAAUAAAAACAUACGUCCUUGCAAAAAUAUUGCAUGAGAAUGUUAAUAGCAGCACUAUCUAUAAUAGCCAAAAAGUGAAAACAAGCCGAUAUCCAUCACCUGUCAAACGGAUAAAGUGUGGUUCAUCCAUACAAUGGAAUAUUAUUCAGCAAUAAAAAGGAAUGAAGUACUGAUACACACUACAGCAUGAGGACCCUUGAAAAUAUGAUGCCAAGUGAAAGAAGACAGUUACAAAAGACCACAUGUUGUAUGAUUUCAUUCAUUUUCCUACAGAGACACUAGGACAAUUUGUCUCUAUAGGAAAAUUUAUAGAGACAGAAAGUAGAUUAGUGGUUGCCUAGGGCUGGGGCAGGCAAGUGGGGAGGAAUGGAGGUUGACUGAUAAUGGGUAUGGGGUUUAUUUUAGGGGGAACAAAAACAUUCUAAAAUUAAAUUGUGGCGAUGGUUGUGCAACACUGUAAAUAUAUUAAAAGCCAUUAAGUCGUACACUUUAAAUGGGUGAAUUAUGUGGUAUGUUAUUUGUGUCUUAGUAAAGCUGUUUGUAAAAAAUGGGC